UUCUUAUAGAAAUUAUUAUAAGUAAAUCCUGCUCAAUGAUAAAUUAAAUAGCCGCAGUUUAUCUGUGCUAAGGUAGCAUAAUCAUUUGUUUUAUAAUUUAAAACUAGUAUGAAUGGUAUUACAUUUAAAUUCUAUCUCAAUUUAUAUAAUAUUAAAUUAUCUUAAAUAUAAAAAGAUAUUUAUAAAUAAAAAAGACGACAAGACCCUAUCAAACUUUUACUAAAGUUUAGCUGGGGCAGCUAUUAAAUAAUAAUUUUAAAUUACAAUUUUACAAAAAUAAAACCCAUUAUAUAAUGAUAAUAUGAUCAAGUUACUGUAGGGAUAACAGCGCAAUAAAUUUUUAAAGCCCUUAUUUAAAAAUAAGAUUACGACCUCGAUGUUGAAUAUUUAUUCUUAUAAAUGCAACCAAUUAUAAAGAAGGUCUGUUCGACCUAUAAAUAAAUACA
RNAcentral lists this ribosomal RNA (446 nucleotides) under Eriauchenus sp. CG264. Its description in RNAcentral is "Eriauchenius sp. CG264 partial 16S ribosomal RNA". Lineage: Eukaryota; Metazoa; Arthropoda; Arachnida; Araneae; Archaeidae. The record is from RNAcentral.